CCUUGCCAGCCCGCUCAGAAACUUAAGGAAUUGACGGGGGCCCGCACAAGCGGUGGAGCAUGUGGUUUAAUUCGAUGAUACGCGAGGAACCUUACCUGGGCUCAAAUGUAUGUUGACGUAUUCUGAAAGGGAUACUUCUUCGGACAAUAUACAAGGUGCUGCAUGGUUGUCGUCAGCUCGUGCCGUGAGGUGUCGGGUUAAGUCCCAUAACGAGCGCAACCCCUAUCAUUAGUUGCCAUCAGGUCAAGCUGGGGACUCUAAUGAAACUGCCUACGCAAGUAGUGAGGAAGGUGGGGAUGACGUCAAAUCAGCACGGCCCUUACGUCCAGGGCUACACACGUGCUACAAUGGCCGGUACAAAGGGCAGCUACCUGGUGACAGGAUGCAAAUCUCCAAAGUCGGUCUCAGUUCGGAUCGGAGUCUGCAACCCGACUCCGUGAAGCUGGAUUCGCUAGUAAUCGCGCAUCAGCCACGGCGCGGUGAAUACGUUCCCGGGCCUU
Molecule: ribosomal RNA, 500 nt
Filed under: uncultured Sphingobacteriales bacterium
Lineage: Bacteria; Pseudomonadati; Bacteroidota; Sphingobacteriia; Sphingobacteriales
Description: bacterial SSU rRNA
Rfam family: Bacterial small subunit ribosomal RNA
Source: RNAcentral